CACCACCAGAAAAAGAAAGAAACACUGGGCAGAGUCUCCCCCCGCCCCCUCAGUAGUGCUGGCCUGGAAAAGGAACAAUAUAAAGCCAAUUUGGCCCCACAGAGAAAGGACAGCAAACUCUGUCACUCCCAAGGUAACUGGGGCAGGGUACCAAGAGAACCCUCUAUGACUGGGAGAGGAGCAGGAAAUUCCGACCAAGACCAUUACAAGUAUCCUACUUCUUGGGGGGGAGGGCAGAAUCGCCCAGAAAGAUCUACCCCCAAGAUUCAAGAAAAAUAUCCCCUAAGACUGAGGCUGAACCAAGAAAACAGAAAACUUACCACCACCAGGUUAGAAAACAUCCAGGAACAAGAAACAGUCAGGUAUAACUCAGAGUGUGGUAGUGAUGGGUCCUGAGAAAAGCUAAGGCAAGAGUCAAGCAGAAACACUGAGAAAAGCCUGCCCUUUGAGCCCUGAAUGCAAGGAAAUUCCAGAGGAAUUUGAAGAUAAAGUUACCUAAGGUAACCAUAGC
This 511-nucleotide long non-coding RNA is filed under the name Marmota monax (woodchuck). The record is from RNAcentral. Lineage: Eukaryota; Metazoa; Chordata; Mammalia; Rodentia; Sciuridae.